RNAcentral lists this ribosomal RNA (274 nucleotides) under uncultured bacterium. RNAcentral describes it as "partial 16S ribosomal RNA". It matches the Rfam family "Bacterial small subunit ribosomal RNA", at positions 523 to 796 of the family's 1533-position model. The record is from RNAcentral.
AUACGGAGGGUGCAAGCGUUGUCCGGAUUUAUUGGGUUUAAAGGGUGCGUAGGUGGCGUGUUAAGUCAGUGGUGAAAGCCUGCAGCUCAACUGUAGAGGUGCCAUUGAUACUGACAUGCUUGAGUAUGGAUGAGGUAGGCGGAAUUUGUGGUGUAGCGGUGAAAUGCAUAGAUACCACAAAGAACACCGAUAGCGAAGGCAGCUUACUGGACCAUAACUGACACUGAGGCACGAAAGUGUGGGUAGCGAACAGGAUUAAAAACCCUUGUAGUCC